GUCCUAUUGGCAGCUAAAGACUGGCAACCGAUAGCGAGAAUCGGGUAGGGC
The submitters of this non-coding RNA (51 nucleotides) gave its source as unclassified sequences. The record is from Rfam.